GACGAACGCUGGCGGCGUGCUUAACACAUGCCAGUCGAACGAAGAGCGAUGGAAGCUUGCUUCUAUCAAUCUUAGUGGCGAACGGGUGAGUAACGCGUAAUCAACCUGCCCUUCAGAGGGGGACAACAGUUGGAAACGACUGCUAAUACCGCAUACGAUCUAAUCUCGGCAUCGAGGAAAGAUGAAAGGUGGCCUCUAUUUAUAAGCUAUCACUGAAGGAGGGGAUUGCGUCUGAUUAGCUAGUUGGAGGGGUAACGGCCCACCAAGGCGAUGAUCAGUAGCCGGUCUGAGAGGAUGAACGGCCACAUUGGGACUGAGACACGGCCCAGACUCCUACGGGAGGCAGCAGUGGGGAAUCUUCCGCAAUGGACGAAAGUCUGACGGAGCAACGCCGCGUGAGUGAUGACGGCCUUCGGGUUGUAAAGCUCUGUUAAUCGGGACGAAAGGCCUUCUUGCGAACAGUUAGAAGGAUUGACGGUACCGGAAUAGAAAGCCACGGCUAACUACGUG
This 510-nucleotide ribosomal RNA is filed under the name uncultured bacterium. RNAcentral describes it as "partial 16S ribosomal RNA". It matches the Rfam family "Bacterial small subunit ribosomal RNA", at positions 28 to 507 of the family's 1533-position model. The record is from RNAcentral.